Molecule: small RNA, 109 nt
Filed under: Arabidopsis thaliana (thale cress)
Lineage: Eukaryota; Viridiplantae; Streptophyta; Magnoliopsida; Brassicales; Brassicaceae
Description: ATSL159700
Source: RNAcentral
CUUAAAGCUUUCUAAUCAUAUCUCAUCUGUUUGCAUCACACCGGAUUGGAUUGACAACCUAAAAUACUACAACAACAUGAUAGUGUUUUAGGAUUAAUUAAGUAAAAUC